Molecule: ribosomal RNA, 465 nt
Filed under: Vreelandella stevensii
Lineage: Bacteria; Pseudomonadati; Pseudomonadota; Gammaproteobacteria; Oceanospirillales; Halomonadaceae
Description: partial 16S ribosomal RNA
Rfam family: Bacterial small subunit ribosomal RNA
Source: RNAcentral
CCUACGGGGGGCUGCAGUGGGGAAUAUUGGACAAUGGGGGGAACCCUGAUCCAGCCAUGCCGCGUGUGUGAAGAAGGCCCUCGGGUUGUAAAGCACUUUCAGUGAGGAAGAACGCCUGGUGGUUAAUACCCAUCAGGAAAGACAUCACUCACAGAAGAAGCACCGGCUAACUCCGUGCCAGCAGCCGCGGUAAUACGGAGGGUGCGAGCGUUAAUCGGAAUUACUGGGCGUAAAGCGCGCGUAGGUGGCUUGAUAAGCCGGUUGUGAAAGCCCCGGGCUCAACCUGGGAACGGCAUCCGGAACUGUCAAGCUAGAGUGCAGGAGAGGAAGGUAGAAUUCCCGGUGUAGCGGUGAAAUGCGUAGAGUUCGGGAGGAAUACCAGUGGCGAAGGCGGCCUUCGGGACUGACACUGACACUGAGGUGCGAAAGCGUGGGUAGCAAACAGGAUAAGAUACCCUUGUAGUC